This 507-nucleotide ribosomal RNA is filed under the name uncultured bacterium. Its description in RNAcentral is "partial 16S ribosomal RNA". It matches the Rfam family "Bacterial small subunit ribosomal RNA", at positions 29 to 507 of the family's 1533-position model. The record is from RNAcentral.
AGUGAACGCUGGCGGUAGGCCUAACACAUGCAAGUCGAACGGCAACGCAGUAAGAGCUUGCCCUUACGGGUGGCGAGUGGCGGGCGGGGUAGGAAACCAUCGGAAUCUACUUUUUCGUGCUGCCUCUCGUAGGGAAAUUUCCUCGAAUAACCCUGACUACUACCGGAUGAAACAUUCGUAACUCCUCACCUGACGGUUAAAGAUACGCCGAUAUGGGAUGGGCUCGUGUCCGAGUAGAUAGCCCGCGAGGUAACGGCCCACCAAGGUGACGAUGCGAAGCUGGUCUGAAGGGAUGAACCGCCACCCUGGAACUGAGACACGGUCCAGACUCCUACGGGAGGCCGCAGUGGGGAAUAUUGGACAAUGGGCGCAAGCCUGAUCCAGCCAUACCGCGUGGGUGAAGAAGGCCUUCGGGUUGUAAAGCCCUUUUGUUGGGAAAGAAAAGCAGCAGGUUAAUACCCCGCUGUUCUGACGGUACCCAAAGAAUAAGCACCGGCUAACUUCGUG